This 607-nucleotide ribosomal RNA is filed under the name uncultured bacterium. Its description in RNAcentral is "bacterial SSU rRNA". The stretch from base 1 to 517 matches the Rfam family "Bacterial small subunit ribosomal RNA", at positions 338 to 873 of the family's 1533-position model. The record is from RNAcentral.
CCUACGGGAGGCAGCAGUGGGGAAUCUUGCGCAAUGGGCGAAAGCCUGACGCAGCCAUGCCGCGUGAAUGAUGAAGGUCUUAGGAUUGUAAAAUUCUUUCACCGGGGACGAUAAUGACGGUACCCGGAGAAGAAGCCCCGGCUAACUUCGUGCCAGCAGCCGCGGUAAUACGAAGGGGGCUAGCGUUGCUCGGAAUUACUGGGCGUAAAGGGAGCGUAGGCGGAUAGUUUAGUCAGAGGUGAAAGCCCAGGGCUCAACCUUGGAAUUGCCUUUGAUACUGGCUAUCUUGAGUAUGGGAGAGGUAUGCGGAACUCCGAGUGUAGAGGUGAAAUUCGUAGAUAUUCGGAAGAACACCAGUGGCGAAGGCGGCAUACUGGCCCAUUACUGACGCUGAGGCUCGAAAGCGUGGGGAGCAAACAGGAUUAGAUACCCUGGUAGUCCACGCUGUAAACGAUGAGUGCUAGUUGUCGGCAUGCAUGCAUGUCGGUGACGCAGCUACGACAUAAGACACUCCGCCGUCGGGAGGUACGGUCGCGAGAAGUUAAACUACAAUAGAAGUUAGACGGCGUGAGACGUGACCGAACGGACGACGACGAGGGAGGUUAGG